AACGCUAGCGGCAGGCCUAAUACAUGCAAGUCGAACGGUAACAUUCCCGAUUUAUCGGGAGAUGACGAGUGGCGCACGGGUGCGUAACGCGUAUGCAACCUACCCUUUACUGGGGGAUAGCCCGGAGAAAUUCUGAUUAAUACCCCAUGGUACUGUAAUGUAGCAUUACAUAGCAGUUAAAGAUUUAUUGGUAAAGGAUGGGCAUGCGUGACAUUAGUUAGUUGGUAAGGUAACGGCUUACCAAGACGAUGAUGUCUAGGGGUUCUGAGAGGAAGGUCCCCCACACUGGUACUGCGACACGGACCAGACUCCUACGGGAGGCAGCAGUAGGGAAUAUUGGUCAAUGGGCGAAAGCCUGAACCAGCCAUGCCGCGUGCAGGAAGACGGCCCUAUGGGUUGUAAACUUCUUUUGUAUGGGAAGAAACGCAGCUACGUGUAGCUGGUUGCGUGUACUAUAUGAAUAAGCACCGGCUAACUCCGUGCCAGCAGCCGCGGUAAUACGGAGGGUGCGAGCGUUAUCCGGAUUUAUUAGGUUUAAAGGGUGUGCAGGCGGGGAUUUAAGUCAGUAGUGAAAUCUCGAAGCUCAACUUCGAACGUGCUAUUGAAACUGUAGAGCUUGAGUACAGACGAGGCAGGCGGAAUGUGUGGUGUAGCGGUGAAAUGCAUAGAUAUCACACAGAACACCGAUUGCGAAGGCAGCUCACUAAGCUGCAACUGACGCUGAGGCACGAAAGCGUGGGUAGCGAACAGGAUUAGAUACCCUGGUAGUCCACGCCGUAAACGAUGAUUACUGGUUGUAGGCGAUACAUUGUCUGUGACUGAGCGAAAGUAUUAAGUAAUCCACCUGGGGAGUACGUUCGCAAGAAUGAAACUCAAAGGAAUUGACGGGGGCCCGCACAAGCGGAGGAACAUGUGGUUUAAUUCGAUGAUACGCGAGGAACCUUACCUGGACUUAAAUGGAGUGACCAUCUGUGAAAGCAGAUUUUCCUUCGGGACAGUCUACGAGGUGCUGCAUGGUUGUCGUCAGCUCGUGCCGUGAGGCGUCGGGUUAAGUCCCAUAACGAGCGCAACCCCUAUCUUUAAUUGCCAUCAGGUAAUGCUGGGGACUCUAAAGAAACUGCCUACGCAAGCAGUGAGGAAGGCGGGGAUGACGUCAAAUCAGCACGGCCCUUACGUCCAGGGCUACACACGCGCUACAAUGGUCGAUACAGAGGGCAGCUACCUGGUGACAGGAUGCAAAUCUCGAAAAUCGAUCUCAGUUCGGAUCGAAGUCUGCAACUCGACUUCGUGAAGUUGGAUUCGCUAGUAAUCGCAUAUCAGCCAUGAUGCGGUGAAUACGUUCCCGGGCCUUGUACACACCGCCCGUCAAGCCAUGGAAGCUGGGGGUACCUGAAGUUCGUGACCGCAAGGAGCGACCUAGG
RNAcentral lists this ribosomal RNA (1421 nucleotides) under uncultured prokaryote. RNAcentral's name for it is "partial 16S ribosomal RNA". It matches the Rfam family "Bacterial small subunit ribosomal RNA". The record is from RNAcentral.